UACGUAGGGGGCAAGCGUUGUCCGGAUUUAUUGGGCGUAAAGAGCGUGUAGGCGGUUUGGUAGGUCCGUUGUGAAAACUCGAGGCUCAACCUCGAGACGUCGGUGGAAACCGUUUGGCUAGAGUCCGGAAGAGGAGAGUGGAAUUCCCGGUGUAGCGGUGAAAUGCGCAGAUAUCGGGAAGAACACCCGUGGCGAAGGCGGCUCUCUGGGACGGUACUGACGCUGAGACGCGAAAGCGUGGGGAGCGAACAGG
Molecule: ribosomal RNA, 253 nt
Filed under: uncultured bacterium
Lineage: Bacteria
Description: partial 16S ribosomal RNA
Rfam family: Bacterial small subunit ribosomal RNA
Source: RNAcentral